RNAcentral lists this small nuclear RNA (18 nucleotides) under Arabidopsis thaliana (thale cress). RNAcentral describes it as "snRNA_17061". Lineage: Eukaryota; Viridiplantae; Streptophyta; Magnoliopsida; Brassicales; Brassicaceae. The record is from RNAcentral.
ACCCGUAAGGCGCAAGGA